GGAAGGCAGAGGCCUGCGGCACAAAGUACAUUGUCUUAGACAUCAGGACAGUGUCUAUAGCAGUUUAGGAAAGAAGGCGGCUCCCUGGGCUGGAGACGACGCAAUGCUCUGGGAAGACCCCUGGGUGCGGGUGAGAGAGGAAUCCGAGCUGCACAAGGCCAAUGAGGGGAGGACGACCCGCCCGAUUUAGAUAAAGGUAACAAGAAAUUUCAGCUUCCGGCAUGAUGGGCGAAGGCCCCCACCUUCAGCCUCGCUCCUCCAUGCCUUCAGAGCUGUUCCGCCAUGCAGACGGGGAGCCUGCCUGUUCUUUAACCUCUCCUACCUGAUGGGAGAGGACAAGCUACCAGGACAGCUUGUCUCACCAAGAAAUUGUGAUACCGCAUCCCCCAACGUGCUGGCUUCCUGACUUCCAAAGUUGCGGCAAGGUAAGAAGAACUACAGAGGAAGAACCUAAUGCAGACGUUUCCCAGGAGACUUUAACUGAAGUAUCAGCAAACUGAAAGGUAACGAGAGAAUCUUGUGCCUCUGAGGGUGUCUUUCCCAUGGAUCCCUGCUCAGUUGCCUUUCACGGGCCCCCUGAUUUGCGUGAACUCCUGACCUCAGAUGAUCCGCCUGCCUUGGCCCUCCAAAGUGCUGGAAUUAUAGGCAUGAGCCACCGUG
RNAcentral lists this long non-coding RNA (660 nucleotides) under Homo sapiens (human). Its description in RNAcentral is "HSALNT0256966". The record is from RNAcentral. Lineage: Eukaryota; Metazoa; Chordata; Mammalia; Primates; Hominidae.